Long non-coding RNA from Oreochromis niloticus (Nile tilapia), 650 nucleotides. RefSeq lists it as uncharacterized. The record is from RefSeq and is a predicted model, not a curated record. Lineage: Eukaryota; Metazoa; Chordata; Actinopteri; Cichliformes; Cichlidae. The transcript is spliced from 3 exons.
UGGGAGAUGUUUAAAAGCAUAUAAACUGCUUCAUGUGAUCUCAUUAGGAGCUAAAAAAAUAUUUGGGGAUUUUCAUCUUACCAACAGCUCUCUGUAGUCCAGUCCACAUUUCCGCCUGAAGGCAGCAUCUUGAAGCUACUCACCAACAUUUUACAAGUUGGCUUGAUUGAGACAACGUUUAAAAUCAUGUCCUGGAGCUUUCACUGGCUUUUGAGGUCAGUCUAAUAAAAGAUAAACCUCGAGUGCCUGAAAGUGAACAGUGGCACUAACGCUGGAGCAUAUGGAAGUAUCACUUUGCUGUGGGAUGCUCGCAGCCAACAUGUGAAGUUUCUACAUGACUGUCUUCAAAAAAUGGAGCCAGAAACCUACAGAGACGCAGAGAGAGCCUGUGCAAGUGGAUGAAACGUGACAGAUUGAGAGUGAGAAAGGAAGAGUGUUGGGUGAAUAAAAGACACCAAAUAGCUCUUUGCAGGGACGAGUGUCUGCAGACGUGAGUGCCCUCAGACUACUGCUUUUACCCAAUAAUACAACCCAGGCCUCAGCAACGCAGAGAGAUGGGUAAAAGUGCAAUAUGCCAGUCCAGUUACACUUUGUAAUUCUUCAAUGGGAAAGACAUUCACUUUAAACAAGCACAGAGUGGUGUUAUUAAA